Molecule: long non-coding RNA, 1029 nt
Organism: Cyprinus carpio carpio
Lineage: Eukaryota; Metazoa; Chordata; Actinopteri; Cypriniformes; Cyprinidae
Source: Ensembl
UGCAUGCAGUACUCGAUAAUAAGCCGUUGCAUAACCUUCCAAAGAUAACCAGAAAUAGUUAUAACAAGAGCUGUGAUUCAUUUUUAGUGACACAAUACAUUUUGUUUGCACUCUGAACCUGAGUCUUACACAUUGUACAAUGAAAAAAAAAAUCUUGGUACUACAUUAUUCAAUGGAAAAUCUCCUCUCUCAUAGGAAUGCUUAAACUUUUGAAUUGUGCACUCUUAUUUCAUUUAAAAUGUUUCAAGCCUUUUAGAAGUACAGUACAAGAAUUACAUCAGAAAAGAGCUUAAAAACCAGAAAACUAAAUUUCCUGUAUAUUUCAAACAAACAACAAACACAUUCAUAAUUAACUGCUCUUAAGUGUCAUAGACCCAUUUUAUUAAGUGUCUUUAACUACUAUGUAAUAAUAUGAAUCAUUAAGGAAUUGUGUCCUUAACCCAGUAGCAGCGACAGUGUUUUGCAAUACAAUAUGAAUGCAAUACGUCCCAAACAAUAAUUUCUUCGACAUAAGCAAAUAGUAGAUAAAAACACCUUAUAUAAAGUGAUACCAAAGACACAUCAAAAAGCAAAAAUGCAUUUAUCUGUUUUAUUUUUCUGCUAAGUAGACUCUUCAUGUCCAUGUUGGUGAUCGAGACUAAGUGGAAGAAAACAGUCAGGAAAAAGUAAUAAUCAUUUUCAGCUGAAACCCUUCCUGCAGAAGAUCCCAGUGUUGUUGUUUUCUCACUCAGACACACACAGCCGAGUCCUGCAAUCUCAAUCAUUCUAAAUGUACUCAUAAAUUGACAAGUUUCCUCCUCACAGGAUGUGUUUCUUGUUGUACACAGUGUUUACUAUAUAUGCAAUUAACCCAAUUAUUGUGCCUUGAUAUUUUAACGACAGUACAUCCUGGUGACUGUCAACUCGCUGACACACACACAAACACACACACACAAACACAUACUUAAAAUGUCAAGGUGCAGUUUAUUUGGAUAUUUUCCCCCGUUGAAAAUGGUGCAGUUAAGCAAUGCUAGGUAAAUAAUCGUCAAU